Molecule: ribosomal RNA, 475 nt
Filed under: uncultured bacterium
Lineage: Bacteria
Description: SSU rRNA
Rfam family: Bacterial small subunit ribosomal RNA
Source: RNAcentral
AGGACGAACGCUUGCGACGUGCCUAAGAAAUGCAAGUCGAACGGACAGUAGCAAUACUGUUAGUGGCGAACGGUCGCGUAACACGUAGGCAACCUGCCCUGAAGCGGGGGACAACAGCUUGAAAGAGCUGCUAAUACCGCAUGUGUCUAUUUUCCGGCAUCGGGAGAUAAACAAAGCUUUAUGCACUUCAGGAUGGGCCUGCGGCCUAUCAGCUAGUUGGUGUGGUAACGGCUCACCAAGGCUUCGACGGGUAGCUGGUCUGAGAGGACGAUCAGCCGGAUUGGGACUGAGAUACGGCCCAGACUCCUACGGGGGGCAGCAAUUAGGAAUCUUGCACAAUGGGGGAAACCCUGAUGCAGCGACGUCGCGUGAAGGAUGAAAUCUUUCGGGAUGUAACUUCUUUUAUCAGCCAUGAAACAAAUGACAGUAGCUGAUGAAUAACGCCCCGGACUAACUACGCGCCAGCAGCCGCGGU